CAGAUUGGGCUGUGCCCUACUCUUCAUACAAUGGUAUUUGGCUUACCUAAUAAUAACCCUUUUAAAGAUUUACUUGGUCUAUGGGUUCUCCAUCUGACUCUCUUACUUUUGACUUUAGUAUGAAGCCUGGGAGAAAAAAACAAAGAUGGUCCAAAUGCUUUGACUUUAUCUAAUGUGAAGUUGAGCAGAUAGCAGGUCUCAAUAAUCAGCCUUGGAUUCCUGGUACAUACCACCCAGAUACCAUUCAUCCCCAACUGUUUUUAAGAUUCUGAUGAUACUAUGGGCCACUUCCGAAGGACUGUCUUGCUUGAUUGACUCUCAGAAUGUUAGUGUGUUCUCAUUCUAAAGGUAAUAAAUCCAGCAUAGUAACCACAAACUAUUUAGGAAAACUAUUGUUACAUUAAAUGAAACUUUUUUAUACCUCCAAUUAAACCAUGUGGAUACUGCCUGGAGAAUAGCAUCUGACUCAUCAGGGAAUGAUGACAUAGCCAUUUCUUCAGAAGAACUUACACUCUUUAUAAAGGAGACUAUAGCCUUUGUCUUUCUCCCAACUCUCCCCUGAGAGGAGCUGAAAGGUUGACUAAGAGAAGACAGAUUGGAUGUGCCUUGCACAUUUCCAAAGAAAGAUGCUUUCUAAAUAAACCUAAGUCUGAGUGUUGAUGGAAGCUUUCUCUUAUACACAGGGUUAGAGGACUUUUACUGCACACCAUCCUUGGUGUUCACUAAGAAGACAUGGAUUCUUCAUGGGCUCAUGAGUACCCACAUGACUGAGAAGAGUCGACACACACUGGCAGGGAUGUAUGUUGUUCUUUCCCCUCCUCCUGGCAAAGACAAUGUGUUAUAUUUUUUCAGAGAACUUAUUAGUUCUUGCUUAAUAUCAUCCCUCUUUUUCACUGAAAACCUUGAUUAGAAUCCCAGGCAAAGCUUUAGACUUUCAAUGAGGAGAUCAUUAAAAAAUAACUAAUUUCUAAAUGGCUCUCAAAACAUCACAUUAUGGCUAAUUGGCAGCACAAUCACAGGGCACUGAGACACAAGGUCUGAUCUGUCAGUUACUUUAUGAUUUCCAAGUUGAGAGCUGACUUCUUAGAGAAGAUAGGAAUUGUGGAGCUCCUGGAAGUGCCCCUUGGUCAGAGCAUGUGAACUUUUUGGAGGGUGACCAAGGAUUCCUUGAAAGGAAUCAUGUGGGCUUCUGUCAUGAGUUUUCAUAACUUAUUCUCCACACGUACUGCAGUAGGAUAAUCAAAAUUCUGACCCUUACUCUAGAAGUCCUUUUUAGAAUCCAAUCAUUAGAACAGAAACUGGUGUCUGGAAUCCUGUUUUCUAACCUACAGGACAGGGUUAAAGAGAGACUGGGCUUGGAUUCCUGGAUAUACAGUGCUAUAUCUCCUCAUUUCCUAUGGAGGUCCUAAGUUCACCUUUCUGUUCCUGAGGAAGAACUGGGUCUUGAUGAGACAACAGUCUCCAGCUAAAAUGCCACGCCUGAUCAUGAGUAGUAUCAAGCAGUAGACUUCUUGGGAAAAGAGUGAAAUGGCCAGUUGUCGGUGGCUAGAGAGGAAGCUCCCUAGAGGACUUGAGAGUGACUUCUGAAGCCAUUUCACUGUACAACCCACACAGAGACAGAGGAGCCAGGAAGUUCAAGUUCACAUCCUGAUCCCUCCUCAUUCACAACAGCACAAUGACAGCAGUAACAUGAAAGCCACCACAGUGACAAUAAGAAUGGUUUCCAAGGUAAAAUGAGAAUUGUAUGCCAGGUGUCCCACACAGCAAUUAAUAGAUAUUGUCAGAUGGGAUCUUCCCCAACAUGAAAAACAGCCUAGGCUCAUUCAGUUAACACUGAGAUCAGGAUGGUGAGAGGCAUCUCUGAGCCUUCAUUCUCAUCCCUUCAUUACAAAGCCAUGACCUCACUCCGAUAUGAUCCUGCUGGCCUACACCUUGACGGCAAGAAUAAUCUAAAGUGUGACCCCUCUCAACUGGAAAAAUACUUUCAUAUUUCGUUCCUCUACGAACAAUGAAUGUUAGAAAGAAGAAGCAGAACUAUCUACAGUAGAAUAUGUGGGUGCAUGAGAUGGUGUGAUGGGACACUGUGUACUCUUCACAUAGUUUCCCAAAAGGAAGGUGUCUCUUCUGAGAAGGCAGAGCUGUCUGAGAAGACUGGGAUACUUGGAGUAAAGUGGAAGAAAUCUUUUAUUUAAUUAUUCAAAGAAAAUAAUGGACUUCUGCUAGCCCCUACCAUUGGGCAUCAAAGGGCCUUAUUUUGGAAGAGAAUAUCUCAGUAAAGUAAUAAUGGAUUUUUACGGUGCUAGGGCUUUAUGACAGAUGUGAUGCAAAAGAUACAUUGAAGAGUUAAAGAAUCAGAUGUUUGGACACCAUAUUUCUGGCCAGGCCAGAGAUUGGAAAAUACUUUCUCCAAAGGUCCACAUAGAAGGUUCUGAAGAAGGUGCUUUCCUUGCAAACAUGAAGAACUUCAUUUCGUCCCCAGAACAUGGGAAAAAACAUAAGGUGGGCAUCAUAUGCAUUUUUAAUCUUAGUGUCAGGCAGCUGCAGACAGACAGAAUCUGAAGCAUGCUGUUCAGCUAGUCUCCCUUACUAAUCCAUUUCUAAGCCAGUGAUACAUCACUUGAGGUUCACUUCUGCCUCUACACAUCUGUGCCCACAUAUACACAUAGAUCACACACACAGACAGUAAGAAUUUGGGGCUUUGAGGCCCAUGCAUAAACAAAUGAUCAUGGUUAUUUCCCAGCAAAAUUUUACCAAGGUCCCAGCAUGUUCUGCUGUUCCUCUGCUAGGGAUCAUAGAGGCAAAGCAUGGCCUUUCUACAAAAUGGUACAGUCUCUGGAUAGGGCUUUGCUUUAGGAGUAGAAACAGACUUUCAACCUCAGUUGUUCUUCCUCUCUGUGAGAUGUAUAAGCAUCUCAUGUCUGAUUCUCCAAGAUAGAACUAAGAAGUUGUAGAGAAAGAAAUUUCUGGUACUAAAUUUCAACAGGGUACUAAAGGCCCUCUACCAGGCAGCUUUGCACAAAGGGCAUAACUCGAAGAGUAUUUCUGUGGAUAUCACAGAGGGGUGUCGAGCAGGUAGAGGAACUUAAAUGCAGAAGAACCCUCUUCCAGACACAAAAAUCGAACUGAAACAAUGAACACAGGAUAUGAAUAGACACUUUUCCCAAAGAAGCCAUACAAUUGAGCCAAAAAUCAUGGACAUAUACCCAACAUGGUUAGCUAGUUAUAGAAUGAAAAAUCAAAUCAAAAUCACAGGGAGCUCGCACUUCACAGAUCCUGGGAUGAGUAAAGUUGAAAAUUAGAGCAGACUUCUUCAUGAAGAUAUAGGGAGAUGGGAAGGACGGAUGGGAAAAUAAUCAGAGUGACUGUUAGAAACAACCUUAGCACAGUCUUCCAGAAUUAAACAUGUAGUUGUCAUAUGACACGGUAACUACAUUCCUAGUUAUUUAUUGAAGAAGAAUGAAAAUAUCUGCCCAUAAAAUACUUAUAAAUGAAAAUACCUAUUCUUGGAUUAUUAGUAAGAAGUGAAAUAUGGAAACAACCCAAAUUUCCAUUCAUCAAGAAACAGACCUACAUUCAAUCCUAUGGGCAGAUAUUCCUUGACAACAAAUGGAGAGGUUUCUGCACAGUAGGAAGAAAAACAAAGAUAAAAAACAAAAAGAGAACUCUUGAAUGGAAGAAAUAUUUGCAAUGUGUUUAUAAGUAUGUAUAAUAUCUUGAAGCUUAUACAAUUGAAUAGCAAAUAAUAGUCUAAAUUUCAAAGAUAGUAAAGGUGUUAUACAAAAGGCUUUUUUCAACAUCAAGCCUGGACACUGAAGUCUUCUGCAUUCUGGGUAUAUGUUCUACCACUGAGCUACAUCCCCAGAUAUUCUUUUCAAAGAAGCAAUACAAACAGCUGAGAGGUUUAUGAUAAAAUGCUCAACAUCAUUAAUCAUCAAGGAAACAUAAAUAAAAACCACAGGCUAUCACUUCAUACUUGUUAGGUCAAGUAUGACAGUCAGGAGAACAAGAAGAACACUUGUAGAUUGUUGGUGGGAAUUUAAAUUAUUUUGGGUAUCAUGAAUAAGUACUGUGUAGGGUUUUCAGACAUUUAAAACUACUAAGACCAUUAUCAGAAUUCUGGGUAUGUAUACAAGAAAAAUAAGAUUAUUAUCUCUAAGAGAUAUGAACACUCCCAUGCUUACUAUAGCAUUAUCCACAAUACCCAACAUAAAGAAGGAAGGUGUCCACCUAAAGACAACUGGACAAAGAAAGUGUGUGUGUGUGUCUGUGUGUCUGUGUAUGUGUGUACAUGGUACAUACACAUAUAACUUAGCCUUAAAAUGGAAAGAUGUACUGAUACCAAACUAUAUUAACCUAGAGGACAUUAGAAAUAGAAAGGCAGAAGGCAAAUGUGUACAAUCUCACUCACAGGUUGUGGUGAUUUGAAUACGUUUGGCCAGCACAGAUUCAUGUGUUUGAACACUUGGCCCAGCUCCACUGUCCUCCAUCUAGACUUGGCCAAGCCAGGGGAGGUUGGUGGUGGCCACAGGCCCAUUCCACCAUGGGCUCUUAUAGGGUGUAGACAGCUGGGGGCAGAGAAGGGGAAAGGCAAUCUUAUCUCUUCCUCCCAGACCCGUGUGCCCCAGUGCUUGCUCCUUCUCUCCUAACCCCAAUGAACAGUACCUCCUCCUUUCCCUUCCGUUCCUGGACAGGAGUCUUGGGGGCAGAGAGGGUGAGUGUGGUCCCAGUGAGCUCUCUGGUCCUCCUGUUCUGGGUCCUUCCCCCACUUGUUGGAGUGAGUGUGGCCUUGUUGGAGGAAGUGUAUAUAGAUGGACUCUGAGGUCUCCUAUGCUCAAGCUCUGCCCAGUAUAUGGCAGUCUUCUCUUUGCUGCGUUUGGAUCAAGAUGUAGAACUCUCAGCUCAAUCUCUAGCACCAGGUUGGCCUGUAUGACCAUUGCUUCCUGCAAUGUCAACAUUGGAAUGAGCCUCUAAAACUGUAAGUCAGACCCAAUAAAUGUUGUGCUUUAUAAGAAUUUCCUUUGUUAUGAUGUCUCUUCAAAGCAAAAGAAACCCUAAGACACAAGUAGAAUCUAAAAAGGUUCAACUCAGAGAAACAAAAAGUGAACCAGCAGUUCCCCAGAUUUGGAAAGUGAAGAUCUGUUCACAGGGCAUAAAAACCCAGUGAUAGGAUGACUAAAUUCUGGCCAUCUAGUUAGUAUCAAUCAUUGUUACCACAGUCAAUAAAUUAUUGUGUAUUUGAAUUUUCUUAGGAAAAUUUCCUACAAGAAAGCUAGCUAGAUAUAUCAACUUGAUUAUGGUAAUUGCUUUAUAAUGUAUACAUCAUGUCAUGUCAUCAUGUUGUAUCACACACACACACACACACACACACACACACAAUCAUUUCUGAACAAAGUUGGAGUAGAUGAAGUACUUCUACAUAGUAAAGAGGGUCAUCCAUGAAAAUUUGAAACAUCAGACUAAUAAAAUCUUAGUGGAUCACAUGACAUCAUUAAACAAUAUAGUUUAAAUAAAAGAGCUGCACAGCAUUUGAAUGAUAUUUCAAUAAAGUUGCAUUAAAAAAAAGAAGAUUUCCAUUUAGCGGCUGACACAAAGGUCCAGCUAAAAACAUUGAUAAAAGUUAGUUUUAGCCCAGCUGAGGUCAAACAUAGACGUGACUCCUUUAUUAUUCGGGUGCACUGAGCCUUAGGAUCCCUUGUUCUGAGAAUCAAAAUGUUAAUAUGUGGGAAGGUCUAGAGAACAGGGAGUUCUUCAGAAAUAUGGACAGGGUGAAAACAGGCAGCCUUUUCAGAAUCACCAUAAAUAUCAAACUGAGAGAACAGAGUGAGUUGGUUUGCUGGUGGGCACUUCCAUUAAACAAAUGGCUCCUAAAUGCCACUCUUAUGUCAAGUGAUAGGCAAGCUGACCAUUAAAGGGUCUUGGAAGCCCAGUCCAGAUGCAAGAACUUUCCUAGUUUUGCAAUGGAGGGAAACUAACCCACCAAAGUGUGUGGCAGGAAGUCAGGGGACUAAAGGCAUAAAGCAGGGCUGGGUGCCAUGGUGGCCAGCAACAACCACAAGGAUGGCAAGAAGGGGACAAUGAGGCCUGCUUUCUUGUUGCUUCCCAUGUGAACGUCCAGCCCCAGGCACAACUGACACCAUAAAAUAGUGGAUACAACCAGGGGAGAUUUACUAUGAUGCUUUAGGUAGAGAAUUAGCACUUGCCAUAAGAAGCCAGGCCUUAAAAUUAAGAAAAAAAGCUCAAAGAAAAGAGAAGGCCCAGGAGGUACAUGCUGUGCUGCAUUUUGGAAUUGCAUCACUUGUAUCUUCCACCUCAAACUUCUGGAAC
This is a non-coding RNA of Rattus norvegicus (Norway rat), 6324 nucleotides long. The record is from RefSeq and is a predicted model, not a curated record. NCBI's taxonomy places the organism in Eukaryota, Metazoa, Chordata, Mammalia, Rodentia, Muridae.